Amaranthus tricolor (Joseph's coat) is the source of this 4062-nucleotide long non-coding RNA. RefSeq lists it as uncharacterized. The record is from RefSeq and is a predicted model, not a curated record. The transcript has 4 exons. Lineage: Eukaryota; Viridiplantae; Streptophyta; Magnoliopsida; Caryophyllales; Amaranthaceae.
UUGUAUGAAAAAUUUUCUAAUUUCGAUUCAAAUUGGUGUUUGUUUUUCUGUUUAUAUCUUGCUCUUGACUCCUGAGCUUGUUUUUAUCUGUCGUUUGUUAAAGAAUUCUGGAUUAUCAGUUUGUUAAAUAAGCUUGAUUAUUUAUUUACAAUCCGUUUCUUCAAUCUGUUUCUUUUGUUAAAGAAUUCUGGAAAAUCAGUUUGUUAAAUAAGUUCGAUUAUUUAUUUACAAUCCGUUUCUUUUGUUUAGAAUUCUGGAUAAUCAGUUUGUUAAAAAAGUUUGAUUAUUUAUUUACAAUCCGUUUCUUCAAUCCAUUUCUUUUGUUUAGAAUUCUGGAUAAUCAUUUAAAAAUCUCUUCUGCUUUCUUCAAUCCGUUUUUUUGUUUCGAUUCACUUUUAUUCUUUUAUUGAAAACCUUGUUUCGAUUCACUUGAUAAUCAGUUUGUUAAAGAAUAUGCUGUUUAUGUCGUUUGUUAGAUAAAUUUCGAUUCAAUCCAUAUUCGAACAUUAUUUGCUGUUUUUGUGGGCUCAACUCGACGACAUUGUUCUCUCUCGGAUUUAGUUGUUGCUAUUGAUGAGAAUAUAACAGCCAUGGAUACUUGGACCCGCCACCACAAUCUGUUUCAACGUAACAUACCACCACUAGUCCCGUUAUUCCUGCUCAGAAGAAGAGAAAACUGAACUUCAAUCUGAAUGAAGAAUCUAAUGAGGGUGAGACAGAAAACAAGAGUCUCAAGAUGGAUUCAAUCAGUCGCUUACCUGAUGAUAUCCUGCUCCACCUGUUAUCUUUGGUGGGGAUAUGAACAGCUACAAAAACUAGCAUUCUCUCAAAGAAAUGGAGACAUCUUGGACUCACAUCAUGGAUCUAGAUUUCGAUGACCAUGAAACCACUGCUGCUACUGUUUCCAUAAGUUUGACGAAUCUAUUAGAUCCGCAUCCGAAACCUGCAUUUGAUAGUUACAUUAAAUUGGUAAACCAUGUUAUAAGUGCAAAUAAAGCUCCAUAUCUCAAUUCCUUCCGAAUAAAUUUUCCCCUGAAUUCUUUUUUUGCUGCUGUUAUUGAAAACUGGAUCAGAUUUGCUUUGGUUAAAAACGUCCACAAUUUGGAGUUAAACUUUUGGGUUCAGCCAAGAAUCCGGUUUUAUAACAUCUUUCAAACCAACCCAGCUUUGAUUGUAAAUACUACACUUGAUUCUCUUCGCUUGAAAUCAGUUAGAUGGACCUCUGUUUCAAUGGGUUUUAUCUAACUGUCCCAACCUUCAACAUCUUUCGAUUUACCGCUGUAGCUCUUCUGAUAAAAAAAAGCCUAAAACAAAAGCUUGUUGUCUCAUCCUUGAAGCUCAAACAUUUCGAGUUAAUGUUCAGCUAUACACUUUUUCAAGCACUGCAUAACCUCAUUUGAAUUUCAUGUGAAUGGAGUUGAUGUGGAGUUUGCUAGUGUUCCUUCAGUUGUGGAUGCUUCUUUUGGAUGGUUAUAACCUCAUCAUAUGAUCUAUAAUUUGGAUAUCCUAUCUGGUUUCUCUUCUCAACUCAAAAAACUGUCUUUGUAUUAUUGUGAGGUAGACAAUGCAUCUAAUUAGUUCCCGAAUUUUGUUAACGUUGAGCAAUUGGAGAUAGUUAAAAUCCGAGAUGAUGGUCAGUUUUUUCCUUUGAUCUUCUUGAUUCAGGCAUGCCCGUUGCUGCAUACAUUCAAGUUGAAGAGUAUAUGACAUAUAUUGUGAUUUCAACCAUCAACUUAGCUUUUGGAUAAACCCCCAACUCCCAAGAUAUGUUGAUAUUCCUUUAGAUUGCUCCUCGAGGGUUUGCACAACCAAGAAAAAGGGAGAAAACGGGUAUGUCUACUAUUUAAAAGAUUUUAUUUUUUUUAUUCUUGCGAGCAUUUCUUGUAGGAACUUUAUUAAGGAACGAAGGGAGUAAAACAGAAAAUAAAUGACAUUGUCAUUUGUACUUUUCUAUAUUUUUUUUCUGUUUUAUAUUAUUUGUUAGAAGUAUUUGAUUUUUUAUAUGUCUUCGAGUAUAAUUUGAACCUUAAUAUCUAUAUAUAUAUUUUAUAAAAAAUUACAAGUAUUAUAUAUUAAAAUUCAAUAAUCAACAUGAAUCAAGAUCUUACAUUUUUGCUUUUUUAUGUCAAUUUCUCUCUAUGAAAUAUUCUAAUGUAUCUAAUAAUAUGAGAUCGAGGGAUUAUCAUUUUAGUUUGUUUAAUUAAUUUGCUACAUUUUUAUUAGACAUGAGUUUUUUAUUUAUCCACAACUACACGAAGUAGAAUAGAAUUUGCAGUAAAUUUAUUCAGCUAGUCUCUUAACAGAUCGUUUUUUUGAGAAACAUAUCUCAAGCCCAGUCCAUUAAGGAGUACUGCCUACUUAUCGUAUUCUUAAUGCCUAUUUACAUUAUACUUAAUGCUUACUUACCGUAUUCUUAAUGCCUACUUUUAAUAUCGUAAAUGUCUACUUACAUCAUUCUUAAUUCCUGCUUACAAUAUUUUUAAAAAUAUGUAAUGGGCCGACCCAAUUAAAUAUGGUCUCUCAUAAGAAUUUGUGAAAUUUAUUAGCACAAAAAGAGUACCAACAUACAAGUUAAUUUUAGUUGGAUAACUAAAUUUUGAUGAAUAACCAUUAACGAUCUUUUGGUUGUUGCUAAUAAACCAUGAUAAUGAGAAUGAUAUGUAGUAUAUGUUUUUAUGAAAUGUUUUUAUGAAAUGUUCCAUGUCAUGAUGAAGAUAACAUGUUAUUUCCAUGGUAUACAUGCUAAUAAACCUUGGCUCUAACCUUCAAUUUCUCCAUCACCGUUUAUUUCAUGAAAAUAAUCACACCCAUUAUUAAUUGAAUCAAGAAUUGUUAUAAAAUGUGUUUAGUAAUAAGAGAGGAUAGUAGCUUUAGAAAACAAAUAUGCAAUGUAGGAAAUACGUAGUUUAUUUUAAUAACAAAUGGGUUGAAUGUAAAGCAAUAGAUAAUAGGUAUAAUGGACUCAAUCUUAUCUUAAAUGAUGCUUUAAAUACUGUGUAUGCUUUUUUUUUGGAAAAUUAGUGAAUUUUAUUCAAAGAAGUAAAAGGGACAUCAUAUUAAAAUCACAGGCAUAAAAACCUCAUGGGGAUCCAUUGACAAACAUAGGAUGCUCCCUUUAACAGAAUUGAUAUACUAGAGUAGUGAAGUAAGCCACAACAUACACCGAGACCACACCAAAUAGGCCAGUCCCAAAUAAACACCAAGAUUUAAAAGGUCAAAACAUCCUAGGUAAAGCCACCAACCGACCCACCAAAUACACCAAAUACAAGCUAACAAACCAAAAAAUAUCUAACAAGACUAGGCCCAACACUAACAAAAGACCUAAUGAGCCAAACCUACUUGGGCAAAAACAGGAAAUCACUAACAAGCUAUCGCCAUAUCAACCUCACAACCUUCGACACUCGCCAAAUCUUCUCCAUAAAAUACACCUCAAUAAAAAACGUGAAACCCCAAACCACCAAAACAAGCAGAGAGGAGUAAAUCACAAACACCACCUCAACACAAGACAAGCCAAGAGAGGACGAUAAACACUGUCAGACCCUUAAUACGUGUAGGCAGACCUCAACAUCUACUGUCAAAGGGGAAGUGCACAAUGUAGUUCACGCAAACUCAACUUAAAUGUGUCAGGCCGCCCACCUCGAUUCCGUCGAUGAAAAAACCUUCAACAUGUGAGUCACGACAAACACCAUCACCAUUUUUUUAGCACAGUCAAACCACUUCGAACACUCCACGGUUACACCUCUUAAUCCACCCACUCCAACACCCAUCACGACAAAACCACUACAUUUAAAUAGGAUGACACCCAGAUUCACCAAAAUUGCAACCAAAACUCUUGUUGGAAAUAGAGAAAACAUCGAGCCUCUAACAGCCGUUUACUACCAUCACCCACAUUCACCAACACACCACCACCCUAAACAACAGAGAUACCCAUCCUAGCACCGGCACCUACCGUCACUAGUUUAAAAAAAAUCAUAUGUUGCGAAACAUAUGCCGCGGUUUUUAGAAGACGCAACAUAAAAUAAAAUGAAAAACAAGGAAAAAAAAGAAAGGGUAUAUGUUGCG